GCCGCUUUUCUUUUCCUCUCCCGGACAUGCCUCCCCGGACAGCUGAGCGCUCGCACGCGCACUCCGAUCGGCCGGAGCGGCGCGCGAAUGUCGCCAACGACGCGCGAGAUUGACGAGCGCUGGGCUGCGGGUUGGAGUGAACGGCGGGCUGCACAAAGUUAUCCGUUCGUAGCCUCGCACCAGCGAGGGGCGGGAUCGUAGCGAACGCCACUUGA
This 215-nucleotide unclassified non-coding RNA is filed under the name Rhodotorula toruloides. The record is from RNAcentral. Lineage: Eukaryota; Fungi; Basidiomycota; Microbotryomycetes; Sporidiobolales; Sporidiobolaceae.